UAGAAGAUCCGAGUAGCAUCUUGGCGGGGCAAUAUCAAGGUUGCAUAGUUCUCACUCUGCAACCGUGUGUUUGCAGCCAUGGCUUUACCCGGUUUGUAGCUGUGUUCAUCUCUCAAUUAUAUGCCUAAGUCUUCCAGAUUUUUGAUAAGCGAAUGAGCAGGUGGUGUAUCGAAAUCAAUCUUCCCCUUAGGCGAUUGAACCCGCUGCAAGUCAAAACCGACAACGAACCAGAUUAGAUCAGCAACUGAUGGGGAUGAUACUGAUGGGGAUGAUGGUGGCGGAUAAAAUGAAAUGGCAAACCCUAAAAUCGAUUGUAUAGUACACGGUGUUUUAUUUUUAAUCCUGAAGCUUUGCAGAUUGUACAUUAUGCUUUAGAAGGUUGUAAAUGUUGAAAUAGCUAUGAAGCAUAAGCUGAGCUUCAAACGCUAUGAUGGUUGCAUGAGCAUCAAUUGUGAUGUUCAUUUGAAGGGUACUUACAUCUCCCUGACUUGAUGAUAGUCAUUAGACUGUGAUGAUUGUUGUAUUUUGAGGGUACAUAGAAGAUCCGAGUAGCAUCUUGGCGGGGCAAUAUCCAGGGUACAUAGAAGAUCCGUGUGUUGCAGCCAUGGCUUUACCCGGUUCGUAGCUGUGUUCAUCUCUCAGUUACAUGUCUGAGUCUUCCAGAUGUUUUGAUAAGCAAAUGAGCAGGUGGUGUAUCGAAAUCAAUCUUCCCCUUAGGCGAUUGAACCCGCCGCAAGUCGAAACCGACAACGAAUCAGUUUUAAGAAGUACCAAGAGCUGGCCACAUCACCUACAUAAGCUACACAUUCAUAAUGACCUUUAUACCCCUCUCUGCCCGAGUUCUAGUCUCAGGAAGUCUAGCAGGCCAGUAAAGUUCAUCCAGGGUUGGGACAGGUUCUAUUGGAGGCAAAAGUGUCUCCUGCAGUGUUUCGGGGUAGAAGAUUAUGUUCGGUCCCUACAGAUUUUGUGUUUCGAGCUCCCUAUGCACAAGACGAGAAAUCUGUUAUCUGAGAUGGUGCAGAAAAUUUAUGUCAAGUCCAUGUAUGAUUCUGUGAUGCUGCUGGAUCGUGGUCAAGUUUCAAACUGCAUGUUUCUGGUCGCCAAGAGCUGGCUGCAUCAGAUUUUCUAUUGGACUUGCAUGGUUUGGUUACAUGCUUGUGACAUGUCUGGAUUAAAUGUUUGUAUGGUUCAUACUUUAAAGGCCCAGCUCAAGCUUCAUGUGCAGACGAAUGGAGUGGGUUAGCAGGGGCAUUUUGGUAAAAAACAAUGCUGGGUUUCACGAGUCUGGCCAUAUAAAUAUGGCCUACCUUGUUUGGUUACUGAGUUUUGGCACUCUGAGUUUAGACUCCUUGUGUAGUUAUUUCUAAAACAGUUAUUUCUAAAUUUUCUAAAUAUGCCUAUUUGAUUUUAAGUUUCUAUUACUAAAUUUGUUUUUACGUAACACAUAGGGGAGAUGGCUUGGAAUGAGAUGAGAAGAGCUUGGGUUGGUGACCGAUCUCAAAAAUCACACACCAAGUUUAGACGGCCAAUUCUGAGUUGGACCACAAGUUUUGAAGAUUUGCUGUCAACUGGUGAACCAUUCCCAGAGUCGAUUCCAUUAACUGAUGUCAUGGAUCUUUUAGUUGACAUUUGGGUCGAAGAAGGUUUUUACAAUUAGAUGCAAGACCGCGUGCAUUUUGACACCAGGAGCAUUGGCAAAAUUAUGCUAAAGAGGUAACUAGACUUCGAAAAACGCCAAACCAAACCAGGCAGGUUAGGUGAGUCAGUUGGUUUUUGCAGUUCAGAUUCAAACGGUUUUUAUACACCCCCAUCCCCCAGUUUGAAAAAGUAGUCUUCGAGAAAUGCCAAACCAAACCUCCCAGGUGGGGUGACUCGGCUGGUUUUGCAGUUCGGUUUUCAAGUUUGAAGUUUUUUUUUUCUUAUUUUUCAAAAUCAUUAUUGUAUAUUAAUAUUUUUAAAAUGAUAUAAAUGUAGUAAGUUUUGUAAUCUAUAUUAUAUAUAUAAUGCAUAUUAGAAGGGCAAAAAUGGUCAUUUGCCACUUAAUCAACAUGUACAACUUUUUAAAGCAUAUGUACAACCAUUUCAAGCAUCAAGAUUGACACCCAAGAUGUGACGGAUGUAGGCUCAAAAUCCACAAGAAGAGUUGCAGUGAAUUACUGUUGUAAGGAAAGUAUACCAAAAAGCUUUUGUGACACCUACUCAUCAUAUUGAGCAACAAUGAGAAUUUAAAGUUCAGUUAGCAAUUAUUUUUCCACUAAAAGGAAUCCUUGUAUGUUAUAAUUAUUAUAAGUUAUAUAUUUUAGUUGAUCAAUAUGGUAAAUUUGGUUUACAGUGAAUAACAAUUUACCCUUUUCCUCUAAAAAAUGUUAGCGCUGCUUUUAAUACAGAGGUAUUCGGUUGGGAUCACGAGUUAAAACAAUGCUUUUAUUACAGAGGUAUUUGUGAUGUAAUGCGACUUUUUAUUCAC
Molecule: long non-coding RNA, 2467 nt
Organism: Helianthus annuus (common sunflower)
Lineage: Eukaryota; Viridiplantae; Streptophyta; Magnoliopsida; Asterales; Asteraceae
Exons: 5
Source: RefSeq, a predicted model, not a curated record